AUUGAACGCUGGCGGCAUGCUUUACACAUGCAAGUCGAACGGCAGCGCGGGCUUCGGCCUGGCGGCGAGUGGCGAACGGGUGAGUAAUACAUCGGAACGUGCCCAGUAGUGGGGGAUAGCUCGGCGAAAGCCGGAUUAAUACCGCAUACGACCUGAGGGUGAAAGCGGGGGAUCUUCGGACCUCGCGCUAUUGGAGCGGCCGAUGGCAGAUUAGCUAGUUGGUGGGGUAAAGGCCUACCAAGGCGACGAUCUGUAGCUGGUCUGAGAGGACGACCAGCCACACUGGGACUGAGACACGGCCCAGACUCCUACGGGAGGCAGCAGUGGGGAAUUUUGGACAAUGGGCGAAAGCCUGAUCCAGCAAUGCCGCUUGUGUGAUGAAGGCCUUCGGGUUGUAAAGCACUUUUGGCGGGAACGAAAAGGACUGUGCCAAUACCACGGUUCGAUGACGGUACCCGCAGAAUAAGCACCGGCUAACUACGUG
RNAcentral lists this ribosomal RNA (484 nucleotides) under uncultured bacterium. Its description in RNAcentral is "partial 16S ribosomal RNA". It matches the Rfam family "Bacterial small subunit ribosomal RNA", at positions 29 to 507 of the family's 1533-position model. The record is from RNAcentral.